Molecule: ribosomal RNA, 1355 nt
Filed under: uncultured bacterium
Lineage: Bacteria
Description: bacterial SSU rRNA
Rfam family: Bacterial small subunit ribosomal RNA
Source: RNAcentral
AUUGAACGCUGGCGGCAGGCUUAACACAUGCAAGUCGAACGAUGAAACUCUAGCUUGCUAGAGAAGAUUAGUGGCGGACGGGUGAGUAACAUUUAGGAAUCUGCCUAGUAGUGGGGGAUAGCUCGGGGAAACUCGAAUUAAUACCGCAUACGACCUACGGGUGAAAGGGGGCGCAAGCUCUUGCUAUUAGAUGAGCCUAAAUCAGAUUAGCUAGUUGGUGGGGUAAAGGCCUACCAAGGCGACGAUCUGUAACUGGUCUGAGAGGAUGAUCAGUCACACCGGAACUGAGACACGGUCCGGACUCCUACGGGAGGCAGCAGUGGGGAAUAUUGGACAAUGGGGGCAACCCUGAUCCAGCCAUGCCGCGUGUGUGAAGAAGGCCUUUUGGUUGUAAAGCACUUUAAGCAGGGAGGAGAGGCUAAUGGUUAAUACCCAUUAGAUUAGACGUUACCUGCAGAAUAAGCACCGGCUAACUCUGUGCCAGCAGCCGCGGUAAUACAGAGGGUGCGAGCGUUAAUCGGAAUUACUGGGCGUAAAGCGAGUGUAGGUGGCUCAUUAAGUCACAUGUGAAAUCCCCGGGCUUAACCUGGGAACUGCAUGUGAUACUGGUGGUGCUAGAAUAUGUGAGAGGGAAGUAGAAUUCCAGGUGUAGCGGUGAAAUGCGUAGAGAUCUGGAGGAAUACCGAUGGCGAAGGCAGCUUCCUGGCAUAAUAUUGACACUGAGAUUCGAAAGCGUGGGUAGCAAACAGGAUUAGAUACCCUGGUAGUCCACGCCGUAAACGAUGUCUACUAGCCGUUGGGGUCCUUGAGACUUUAGUGGCGCAGUUAACGCGAUAAGUAGACCGCCUGGGGAGUACGGCCGCAAGGUUAAAACUCAAAUGAAUUGACGGGGGCCCGCACAAGCGGUGGAGCAUGUGGUUUAAUUCGAUGCAACGCGAAGAACCUUACCUGGUCUUGACAUAGUGAGAAUCCUGCAGAGAUGCGGGAGUGCCUUCGGGAACUCACAUACAGGUGCUGCAUGGCUGUCGUCAGCUCGUGUCGUGAGAUGUUGGGUUAAGUCCCGCAACGAGCGCAACCCUUUUCCUUAUUUGCCAGCGGGUUAAGCCGGGAACUUUAAGGAUACUGCCAGCGACAAACUGGAGGAAGGCGGGGACGACGUCAAGUCAUCAUGGCCCUUACGACCAGGGCUACACACGUGCUACAAUGGUAGGUACAGAGGGUUGCUACACAGCGAUGUGAUGCUAAUCUCAAAAAGCCUAUCGUAGUCCGGAUUGGAGUCUGCAACUCGACUCCAUGAAGUCGGAAUCGCUAGUAAUCGCAGAUCAGAAUGCUGCGGUGAAUACGUUCCCGGGCCU